Molecule: ribosomal RNA, 492 nt
Filed under: uncultured bacterium
Lineage: Bacteria
Description: partial 16S ribosomal RNA
Rfam family: Bacterial small subunit ribosomal RNA
Source: RNAcentral
AGUGAACGCUGGCGGUAGGCCUAACACAUGCAAGUCGAACGGCAGCACAGUAAGAGCUUGCUCUUACGGGUGGCGAGUGGCGGACGGGUGAGGAAUACAUCGGAAUCUACUUUUUCGUGGGGGAUAACGUAGGGAAACUUACGCUAAUACCGCAUACGACCUACGGGUGAAAGCAGGGGAUCUUCGGACCUUGCGCGAUUGAAUGAGCCGAUGUCGGAUUAGCUAGUUGGCGGGGUAAAGGCCCACCACGGCGACGAUCCGUAGCUGGUCUGAGAGGAUGAGCAGCCACACUGGAACUGGGACACGGUCCAGACUCCUACGGGAGGCAGCAGUGGGGAAUAUUGGACAAUGGGCGCAAGCCUGAUCCAGCCAUACCGCGUGGGUGAAGAAGGCCCUCGGGUUGUAAAGCCCUUUUGUUGGGAAAGAAAAGCAGCAGGUUAAUACCCCGCUGUUCUGACGGUACCCAAAGAAUAAGCACCGGCUAACUUCGUG